UCCUACGGGAGGCAGCAGUGGGGAAUAUUGGACAAUGGGGGAAACCCUGAUCCAGCAAUGCCGCGUGGGUGAUGAAGGCCUUCGGGUUGUAAAGCCCUUUUGGCGGGGACGAUGAUGACGGUACCCGCAGAAUAAGCCCCGGCUAACUUCGUGCCAGCAGCCGCGGUA
RNAcentral lists this ribosomal RNA (168 nucleotides) under uncultured bacterium. RNAcentral describes it as "partial 16S ribosomal RNA". It matches the Rfam family "Bacterial small subunit ribosomal RNA", at positions 337 to 522 of the family's 1533-position model. The record is from RNAcentral.